AAGAAGAAAGCUUCGUC
RNAcentral lists this small RNA (17 nucleotides) under Arabidopsis thaliana (thale cress). RNAcentral's name for it is "ATSL217910". The record is from RNAcentral. Lineage: Eukaryota; Viridiplantae; Streptophyta; Magnoliopsida; Brassicales; Brassicaceae.